AUUAAAUUAUUAGAAUAUAAGAGAUAUAAAGACCUGACUGGUCCAGAGUUCAUUUAUGUGCAUUUAGUAGAGAAAUCCCCAACACCAAUAUCACAGAUUGAAGAUAAUCUGUAAAAAUAAGAAAACAGUUAAAAUCCAAAAGUUAAAACUAAUAUGAAAAUGUCUAUAUUUUUAAGUCAAGGUUUUAAGUUCCCUAAUUACCAGUGAGCUUCUCUGAAUAAUAGCCUUUUGUGUCUGUCCCCACUAAUUGACAGUUUACCUCUUUGAUGUAAUCAAUCCUGUCCAGCACCACUAUAACACCACCCUUAUCAGCUGGUUAUAAGACCAAAUCCUGAUUUAGUUGUAGUAUUUUUAAAGCUUUUUGUUGAGCUUUUGUUAAAUUAUUAGGGGUCAGAACUCAUAAUAGUUAACAC
Pelobates cultripes (western spadefoot toad) is the source of this 413-nucleotide non-coding RNA. NCBI's taxonomy places the organism in Eukaryota, Metazoa, Chordata, Amphibia, Anura, Pelobatidae. The record is from the annotation of a GenBank genome assembly.